UACGUAGGGUGCGAGCGUUAAUCGGAAUUACUGGGCGUAAAGCGUGCGCAGGCGGUUUUGUAAGACAGGUGUGAAAUCCCCGGGCUUAACCUGGGAACUGCGCUUGUGACUGCAAGACUUGAGUGCGGCAGAGGGGGGUGGAAUUCCACGUGUAGCAGUGAAAUGCGUAGAGAUGCGGAGGAACACCGAUGGCGAAGGCAGCCCCCUGGGCUGACACUGACGCUCAGGCACGAAAGCGUGGGGAGCAAAC
RNAcentral lists this ribosomal RNA (250 nucleotides) under uncultured bacterium. RNAcentral's name for it is "partial 16S ribosomal RNA". It matches the Rfam family "Bacterial small subunit ribosomal RNA", at positions 524 to 773 of the family's 1533-position model. The record is from RNAcentral.